This is a non-coding RNA of Ictidomys tridecemlineatus (thirteen-lined ground squirrel), 71 nucleotides long. NCBI's taxonomy places the organism in Eukaryota, Metazoa, Chordata, Mammalia, Rodentia, Sciuridae. The record is from Rfam.
GUGGUUGUGGCUUAGCGGUAGUGCACUUGCCUGGCAUGUGUGAGGCACUGGGUUCAAUUCUCAGCACCACA